Long non-coding RNA from Brassica oleracea var. oleracea, 528 nucleotides. RefSeq lists it as uncharacterized. NCBI's taxonomy places the organism in Eukaryota, Viridiplantae, Streptophyta, Magnoliopsida, Brassicales, Brassicaceae. The record is from RefSeq and is a predicted model, not a curated record. The transcript is spliced from 3 exons.
GUUUCCUGCAACUUUUUUUACCAUCGUCAACAAUUGAUUUGUUAAAAUAAACUUUUUUUUGCCGAACAUAGUGAAAGGCCACAUGAAGCUUCCGUUUGCCGCUCCUCGGUUGUUAAUCGGGAUCCACAGUUCGGUUUUGAACAUGGCACACAACCAUUAAAUAUUUGAUCUCAACUGAGUGUUUUGAUUGUUGGCUCAAGCUGAAGCUGUCAAAGAUUACUGCAAGUUGGGGUGUACAUUUAACAUUUGCACCUAAAAAAAAAGUUAGGGUGUACAUCCUUUCUGUGCGGUUCAUUGACCACUCUCCAAAAUUCCGGUAAAGCAAACUUCUUAAGCUCGUCAAUUGAAAACAGAGUAAUCCUAAGCAAGCAUUGUGGAUGGAGCGAUGCAACAGUGUUUCAAAGCAUCUACUACUUUACUAAGACAAGCAUAUCAGCUAAGUUUCAGAGUGUUGUUAAUGUUUUCACAGAGCCGUCUGUUAGUAUUUUAAUAAGUUGUUUCUGGUUUGUGUAUGUAUCGUAGAAGGUU